This 274-nucleotide ribosomal RNA is filed under the name uncultured bacterium. RNAcentral's name for it is "partial 16S ribosomal RNA". It matches the Rfam family "Bacterial small subunit ribosomal RNA", at positions 523 to 796 of the family's 1533-position model. The record is from RNAcentral.
AUACGGAGGGUGCAAGCGUUACUCGGAAUCACUGGGCGUAAAGCGCGCGCAGGCGGCUAUUUAAGUUGGAUGUGAAAGCCUACGGCUCAACCGUAGAACUGCAUCCAAAACUAUUUAGCUAGAGUGUUGGAGAGGAAGAUGGAAUUAGUUGUGUAGGGGUAAAAUCCGUAGAGAUAACUAGGAAUACCAAAAGCGAAGGCAAUCUUCUGGAACACUACUGACGCUGAGGCGCGAAAGCGUGGGGAGCAAACGGGAUUAGAAACCCUAGUAGUCC